Long non-coding RNA from Etheostoma spectabile (orangethroat darter), 384 nucleotides. RefSeq lists it as uncharacterized. The transcript has 2 exons. NCBI's taxonomy places the organism in Eukaryota, Metazoa, Chordata, Actinopteri, Perciformes, Percidae. The record is from RefSeq and is a predicted model, not a curated record.
UAGGACCCUAACUAGAGGGUUUGCCAAGAAAAUAAUGGGUAAUAAUAAUGCGACAGGACCACAUUUCCACCAAAAAUGGAAGAAGAGCACAUCAAGCCCUGUUGAAGUGGAGGAAUUCAGCAGACGAUUCUAUAAAGAAAUGAGAAAAGAAGGAAUACCACUCAAUUAAAAGAUAGUGCUGUUACCUACUUCUCAAUUUGGGUUUUAAUGUUGCAGUGUCAGGAAAAGUAAAAUGUUGAUAAAAUGUGAUAUCUAAUGGUUUUUGCAUCUCUCUCAUCUUUCUGUCUCUCUUUCUUGCAGAGAUCAUUGAUAAAACUUUCAUUCUCCUGUUUGUCUGUAUACCAUGAGGAAAUUACAAAAUUAAACGUUUUUUCUUUGUUGGAA